Molecule: ribosomal RNA, 275 nt
Filed under: uncultured Oscillospiraceae bacterium
Lineage: Bacteria; Bacillati; Bacillota; Clostridia; Eubacteriales; Oscillospiraceae
Description: partial 16S ribosomal RNA
Rfam family: Bacterial small subunit ribosomal RNA
Source: RNAcentral
UUAACCGAAAGUUUACUUUUGGAGCGGUUAGUGGCGGACUGGUGAGUAACACGUAAGCAACCUGCCUAUCAGAGGGGAACAACAGUUAGAAAUGACUGCUAAUACCGCAUAUGCCUAAGUAUCACAUGGUACAAUAGGGAAAGAAGCAAUUCGCUGAUAGAUGGGCUUGCGUCUGAUUAGAUAGUUGGUGGGGUAACGGCCUACCAAGUCGACGAUCAGUAGCCGGACUGAGAGGUUGAACGGCCACAUUGGGACUGAGAUACGGCCCAGACUCC